This 292-nucleotide ribosomal RNA is filed under the name uncultured bacterium. Its description in RNAcentral is "partial 16S ribosomal RNA". The record is from RNAcentral.
GGACUACACGGGUUUCUAAUCCUGUUCGCUCCCCACGCUUUCGCUCCUCAGUGUCAGGUAAGGCCCAGAGAACCGCCUUCGCCACCGGUGUUCCUCCUGAUAUCUGCGCAUUUCACCGCUACACCAGGAAUUCCAUUCUCCCCUACCUACCUCUAGCCUGCCCGUAUCCACUGCAAGCCCAGGGUUGAGCCCUGGGUUUUCACAGCGGACGCAACAGGCCACCUACGAGCUCUUUACGCCCAAUGAUUCCGGACAACGCUUGCGCCCUACGUGUUACCGCGGCUGCUGGCAC